Molecule: long non-coding RNA, 545 nt
Organism: Ricinus communis (castor bean)
Lineage: Eukaryota; Viridiplantae; Streptophyta; Magnoliopsida; Malpighiales; Euphorbiaceae
Exons: 2
Source: RefSeq, a predicted model, not a curated record
UCCAUGAUCGAGGAGAGCAGUGAUUUGAUCCUUCGGUAUUUCCAUUAUUUUUCUUUUUCUCUCUUUCCCGCAAGUCAAAUGAAGAGGAAGAAGAGUACUGAUUCCAGAGUAUUAAGUGUUGUGAACUGAGAGUUUCAGCUUCGAAAAGGAAAUUCUGAUGUUUCAUGCAGAACAGCUUGGUGAUGAAGAUAAUUUGCUCGAGUUUGAAAGGCAUCUUUAUUCAUUAAACAUAGAAAUUGGAGCGUCUGGCAUUUGCAUCCAUGCAAGUAAAGAACAGUCAAAAGACAUGAUCUAUAAUAUAGUUCAAAACAACUUCACUCUGGCAAUCCUUGUAAGAGGCACCUUGAAGCGCCCACCUGUAGGUUUCCUGGUGUUCCUGUUUGUGGCAAGAUCAGGAAUUAUGUCAAUUCAUGAACAAAAAGGGGCAUGUAUUUUGCAACAAAUGCAAGCCCAUAAAAUGACGGUAGACUUGUAAUUAAGACACUAGUUGCACUUACUUGAGAUUCUUUUUGCCCUUUUAUUUCAGAAUUUGGUUGUCCUUUUUC